Molecule: long non-coding RNA, 913 nt
Organism: Vitis riparia (riverbank grape)
Lineage: Eukaryota; Viridiplantae; Streptophyta; Magnoliopsida; Vitales; Vitaceae
Exons: 2
Source: RefSeq, a predicted model, not a curated record
UUUCUGCUGAUUACUUAAUCCUACAUGUACUUCAGGAUGAAGACAACUCAAAUGUUCAAGGACAUGAAACUGGUGAUGACCAAUCUAGUCCUGUGGAGGAACUUCACCAGGAUGAAUUAGAGAUUGAAAAUCCUGCAGAGGUUGUAUCAGUUCAACAAGAACAAGCCAAACAACAGGCAGAAGUGGAGUGGAAUCAAGGAGAUGUGGAGUCAAAGGAGCAGUAUGUUCCUCGAAGAAAUUAUCAGAAUACAAGAGGUGGCCGUGGUGGUGGGGGGAGUGGCCGCAGGGGGGGUUAUCCCAACGGUCGUGGAGGUCGAAGUGGUGGCAGGGUAGGUGGAUCCUAUCAGAAUGGCCGCAGCCAAUAUUAUGACCAGCCUGGAAAUUAUUAUUCGAGGGGCUACCAUAACAAUAGGGGAAGAGGUGGCAGGGGUGGUGGAAACUCCUACAAUAACCAUGUUUUGGGAAUUCAAGGUGGUCAUGCUCCCACUGAAGUUAGGUUGGGUUCGUGAACCUUUUCUUUUUUCCAUUUUUUUGUAAGUGGUUGGGUUCUUGAACUUGUUACUCUUUUAGGUGUCUAUAGGAUGUUUGGUUGCUAGCUUUGUAGGUGGGUGGUGAAAAUGUCUUUUUUUUUUUUUUAACCUUUUAUGGAACAUGAUUUGGAUGUGGGUUGCUGUUGAUGAAUGAGCCAUCCUGACCCCCUUUUUUUGUAGUUCAAUCGAUGCAGAAUUCCCAUUUAGUCCGGAAAAGAAGUUAUCAAUACCUUAUUAAAACUUUUUUGAUUUUGCUUUACUGGAAUUUCUGCCAGCUUAUGAGAUUCUACAUACAUUAGCCAAUGUGUUCAUAAGCAUAUCGAGAUGCUCGCUAAAUAUUGUAUUCUAGCUUCUGAGCCUUUAAAUGAAGAAUUUGAAAGUGA